RNAcentral lists this ribosomal RNA (478 nucleotides) under uncultured bacterium. RNAcentral describes it as "partial 16S ribosomal RNA". It matches the Rfam family "Bacterial small subunit ribosomal RNA", at positions 28 to 523 of the family's 1533-position model. The record is from RNAcentral.
GACGAACGCUGGCGGCGUGCUUAACACAUGCAAGUCGAACGGUAAGGCCCCUCGGGGUACACGAGUGGCGAACGGGUGAGUAACACGUGGGUGAUCUGCCCUGCACUUCGGGAUAAGCCUGGGAAACUGGGUCUAAUACCGGAUAGGACCACUGCCUGCAUGGGUGGUGGUGGAAAGCUUUUGCGGUGUGGGAUGGGCCCGCGGCCUAUCAGCUUGUUGGUGGGGUGAUGGCCUACCAAGGCGACGACGGGUAGCCGGCCUGAGAGGGUGACCGGCCACACUGGGACUGAGAUACGGCCCAGACGCCUACGGGAGGCAGCAGUGGGGAAUAUUGCACAAUGGGCGCAAGCCUGAUGCAGCGACGCCGCGUAAGGGAUGACGGCCUUCGGGUUGUAAACCUCUUUCAGCACCGACGAAGCGCAAGUGACGGUAGGUGCAGAAGAAGGACCGGCCAACUACGUGCCAGCAGCCGCCGUAA